CCCUACGGGGCGCAGCAGGAUUUCUAUGAGUCCGAGCCCGCCGAAACCGGUGGCCCCGACGAUUGUGGCUUUUUUCAUGGCAUGCUCCCCUUUCCGACGCGCAGGCCGUUUGCUUACGCACCCUGCGCGUUACAUAUUCGAGAAUUGGAGUGCACGAGGCUUUUUGUAAAGAGAUUUUUGGUCAAAUACCGGCAUUUAUUUGUUUGCGCCUGAAAAGCAGAAAGAAUUCAUCCUGAAUAAAAUCAUGCUUCGCUUCAACCGUGAAGCCGGCCUGCCGCACCCAUGAAACAAGCUCAUCGGUAGUGAACCUGUUCGAGGAUGGGGGCCAGUUGCGCGUGAAGUCUAUUAUCGCGAUCCUGCCGUCCGGCUUCACGUACGAGGCCAGGCGGGCGAGGUAGCCGGGCUGGUCCGCAACAUAGUGAAGGGUGUCGCAGAAAAAAACAAGGUCGACCGGGGCGGGGGGGC
RNAcentral lists this ribosomal RNA (465 nucleotides) under uncultured prokaryote. RNAcentral describes it as "partial 16S ribosomal RNA". The record is from RNAcentral.